UUAGCGGCGGACGGGUGAGUAACACGUGGAUAACCUACCUAUAAGACUGGGAUAACUUCGGGAAACCGGAGCUAAUACCGGAUAAUAUUUUGAACCGCAUGGUUCAAAAGUGAAAGACGGUCUUGCUGUCACUUAUAGAUGGAUCCGCGCUGCAUUAGCUAGUUGGUAAGGUAACGGCUUACCAAGGCAACGAUGCAUAGCCGACCUGAGAGGGUGAUCGGCCACACUGGAACUGAGACACGGUCCAGACUCCUACGGGAGGCAGCAGUAGGGAAUCUUCCGCAAUGGGCGAAAGCCUGACGGAGCAACGCCGCGUGAGUGAUGAAGGUCUUCGGA
RNAcentral lists this ribosomal RNA (336 nucleotides) under Staphylococcus aureus. Its description in RNAcentral is "bacterial SSU rRNA". It matches the Rfam family "Bacterial small subunit ribosomal RNA", at positions 92 to 422 of the family's 1533-position model. Lineage: Bacteria; Bacillati; Bacillota; Bacilli; Caryophanales; Staphylococcaceae. The record is from RNAcentral.